Molecule: ribosomal RNA, 278 nt
Filed under: uncultured bacterium
Lineage: Bacteria
Description: partial 16S ribosomal RNA
Rfam family: Bacterial small subunit ribosomal RNA
Source: RNAcentral
AUGCCUACGGGGGGCAGCAGUGGGGAAUCUUGGGCAAUGGGCGCAAGCCUGACCCAGCAACGCCGCGUGAAGGAAGAAGGCUUUCGGGUUGUAAACUUCUUUUCUCAGGGACGAAGCAAGUGACGGUACCUGAGGAAUAAGCCACGGCUAACUACGUGCCAGCAGCCGCGGCAAUACGUAGGUGGCAAGCGUUAUACGGAUUUACUGGGUGUAAAGGGCGUGUAGGCGGGAAAGCAAGGCAGAUGUGAAAACCAUGGGCUCAACCUGGGGCCGGCAUU